Molecule: long non-coding RNA, 2250 nt
Filed under: Lactuca sativa (garden lettuce)
Lineage: Eukaryota; Viridiplantae; Streptophyta; Magnoliopsida; Asterales; Asteraceae
Description: long non-coding RNA (LSAT_LNC000652)
Source: RNAcentral
UGGAUUAUAAUCAUAUGAAGAGAAGUAUUACAUUGAUAGAGUAUAUAAUAAUAGAUAUUAUAAACCAUUAUGAACAUUAAAAUAAGCUUUAUAAAGAUAUGGAUGGCAAUGAUAAACAUAAUCUCAGAUUUAAUUUGCUCAGUGAAAAUAAAGAUGUUUCUUAACGAUGGAUUCAAAUUCUUACUUGCACCUCCAACCAAAAUUAUUUUGCUCAUAAAUAAUCAACAAACUACAUCAUCAGAUUUAAUCUUCUUAUUGCUAGAUGCAUCAUAAUCGUUCCAGUUUCUAAUCAAUCUUCUUGUCAUAGUCAUUCCUGCACUUGCACUUACAACAGACGAAACACGUGUUCUUGGUGAUCAUACAAGCCUUGUAAUAAAAAAAUAGUAAUCAAACACGAGAAUUAACAAGAUUCACAAGUGAAAACAAAUACAAAUUUUUUUUGAGCAUAUACAUGACUUUUUCCUAUGUCAUUUCUUCUUGUAAUCAGAAGCAAAAUACCAAGUUUAGACAAACCCUAAAAACUCCAAACACUUGAACAAACAUUAUAUUAUUUUUCCAACUAUCACAGAUAAUCAUAAUCAACAAAGCUUUAAUAAUUAUAUGAUCACAGGACAUCAUUAUUUUAAUCCUCAAUGCUCAAAAAAUUAAGAAUCACAAUCAAAUUUUGGUUAUUACCCUAAGUUGAUUGCUUAGAAUUACUAGUAAUAACUUUAAAAGCAAAUCCAAACAGCCCUAAAUUGAUAAGUUUAGGGAAAAACAUGAGAGCAACAUUUUUUAGAAAAAAUCUAAAAACAUGUAUGCCAAUUUAGAAUUUUGGUUGAAAGCAAAUUUGAUGUACAAAAACCACAUAUAUACAAUAAAUAAAUGCCAUAACUUUACUUAUAAUAGAAAAACAUGUAUAGAAGAAGAAAACUACUUACAAAGAGGCCGAUGAGGAGUGGUGGUCUCAAAGAAACGCAUCUAAUUCCAAAUGUAGAAACUGCAAAAAAAAAAAUCAUCAAAAUUAAUGAUAUAGGACAGAAAUCAAGAGUUUGAAGGAUAGAAAAUAUAAGGUACUUGCAAUGAUAAGCCUUCCACCAGUAGAUGACAAGUAGAUGACAACUGCAACUCAUAUUCUGAUCUAUUACCAAAAGGGCAUUUACGUCUUUUUGCAUAGUAAUGAAGUAAUAUAAAGUAAUGAGUACUGACCUUGACUUGCUUAAUGAAAGAAACAGCAUUCAACAUUCCACUUCUUGAUAAUCAGACCAAAUUAAAGCGUUAUAAGAAGAGAUUUAGGGAUUUAAAACAUAAUAGGAAGAUAUAAAUCAUAAUUAGAAGAGAUAUAUCUCUGCAUCUACAGUAUUGACACUUCCCUUAUGCAUGAUUUAGAUCUUUAGCAAGCUCAUAUGUAAUCAAUACCAAUCGAAUGUAGUGAUUGCAUGUAAUCAAACCUGAAAACAAAAAGAAAUUCCUCAACAUUUUUAUAUCCCCUUCUUAAUUACAAUUGAGAACAAAUUUGUGGAAAGACUUAUCAAAAACAUCAUAGAAGAUCAACUCCUAACUUAUCAACAAGAGUGUCACCUAAUCAGCAAUCUCAAAUAAAACAUGUUUAGGGCUUACCUUUACACUCGAUUAUAGGCUUCUAAGCUCUUGUACUGUUGAGAUGAAGACCCAAAAAAAACCGAGAAAACACCAAUGGGGAUAUGGGGCUAUUUCGUGAGAAACUCAUUGAAAAAUGUUCUGAUAGGAGAAGGAAGGAGCCUAAUGGCAUCGAUCCUAGAAUUCUUAAUUCCAUCUCAACUCGAUUCGUGAUCUGACUUGGCACAUUAUCCAGAUCGACGGUUUUAUAUUGUUUUCUCCACAAAAUCGUCAGUACCUUGAUUAUGAAGAGAAGUUGUUCAUACUAUUUUCAACCAGCCAAUAGAGGAUGAACAAGGGUUAGGGGAAACACGAUCGACGAUAUGGGCUAAGGCGCGAUGUGGAGGAGCCAGGGUGGAGGGACGGAUAGGUAACGAUGACCCCAUGAGAGAAAAACGAAAUAACGAACCCUAGUGGUUUAGAUUAUGUUGGGGGUAAUGGGAAUUUGGAAACCUGAGCGGGAUGUGAGUUGAUUUUCAAUAUUCAGGAUUGACAUCUUCGAUUGUCGAUAGCAGACGUUUAGAUCGAUGGUGCAAUGGAGAACGCGAACAUUGAAGAUAAUAGAUAUUAGGUUUAAAGAGGAGGGAAUUACUAAAUCUAAAAAAUUUCACGUAGAGGGAAUCUGAAACUUUU